UAAGUGUAAUUUUGAGCCAAUUAGUUAGUUUAUAAUCCAUAUCCAAGUAUAUAGUUACAAGUGUGAGUUAGUAGAUAUCUUAGUGGGUGUUAGGGUGUUCGGGGAUCAUAACUAGCUCAGAAACAUUAAAAGAAUGUUUCUAGUAUAAUUUUGGUGUUCCGGGUAAUGUCCGGUUGUUCGGUUUGAUACUGUUCCAUUAAAGUGCUUAAUUAUUCCGUAAAGUGUCUUUUAUAUACAUUUUGUGUCACAAUUAAUUCCCGGCACUUAGGAAAGCAUACAGGACCAUUCUGCCAUAUUUUGGCACCUUACUAGCAUAUUAAAUGCUGAAUUUUUGCUGAAAAUGCAGAAUUCUGCAUUUAAAGUGUGUUUUAGGCACUUCCCGGCACUUUAACUAUCACCUAGUGACGCAGUUUUAUGGUCCUCACUUCCCUACACUCCCUACUAGUGUAGUAUUCUAUCUCUGGCUCAUACUGGCCUCAAAAACAUUGUCUAUCUAAGUGUUGGUAUUGUCAGCAUGUAUCUGGGUUAUCCGCUCGCUGUGCUAACUGUGCUUUGUGCAUCAAGUUUGUCACUAAAGAAAUCAGAAAGCAGUUUAAAUCAACAGUUGUAAUUAAGCACAGUCAUUAAGCAUAAAUCAAUAUUAAUUAAACGUACGGAUGCUUGCAAAUUUGACAGUUGUCACACAAACACUUUUCCUAGUGAUCAUUAGUCGUGCUUAGGACUAUUGUAAGUGUACUUAACCUUUAUUAAUUAAGUUUUGCUUAGUUUAUUAGCUUAAAGUCAAACCGUCGUAAUUAAGAUUUGACUUCGUCAUUAAUCUUAAUUUCUCAAGUCAAAUUUCAAAUUGAAAGUACCUAUGAGUUGGUAAUUAUGUGGGCAAUAAACCCUUAAAAGGGCACCCUCUGAUUCCCACUCUAACUAGGUCAAUUGUCGAGUCAAAGUUAAUCUUAAAAAGUCAACAGAAAGCUUAUUUUCAAAUUAAUGCAUAAUUAGCAAUGUAGAAGCUAUGCAACCUGUUUUGUCAUUAAUAUAACUUGGUAAUUAAUGUAAGAACAUGUCUAAACAUGUUCAACUCGACAAUUUUCAGUUUAAGCUCGGUUCGGAACCGAAAGUCGCAAAAGUUUGACUUUCAGUUCUGACCUAUUAGAGCAUAGUUUAGAAAUGCCUUAGAGCUUAUUUAGGACCAUGUUUCAUAUAAGUAUAACCCUUUGUGAUUAUAUGACAUGGUUCAUUAGUUAUCCGAUUCAUAUGCAUAUUUCCGUUAAAUGCCUAAAUGUUGACUAUUAUGCCCAUAUGACCUUAAAACAUGAAUUUUGAAAAUGUAAAAGAGUAGAAACCUUAGCUACUGAUUUAUAAACUUGUACCUAAAAUUUGAAAUCAGUUUGAGGUCUAGAUUAAGAAUUAUGCUCAUUAGCGUAAUUAGAAAGCUUUUUGAUAAUUAAUCGGCGUAAUUAGCAUAUAGCCUAUCUAAACCCGAUUUUUGAUACCAAACUUUAUACCUCUUAAUAUAAAAUAAUAUUUUAGGAUUUUUGGAGACUUUUAUUUAUUUUUAGACUGAGCAUAACAUAGAGUUCUAAGCUUAAUUCGGAAAUUGUCGGUUUUGCCCUUUUAGGCUAUAAAAUGAGUUUUACCAAUCCUUUUGAUACCAAACCUUUUUCUACUGAUCCAAUAUGACAAAUAGAAUAUUUUAAGCCUUCUGGAAUAAUAAAAAUAUCAACUUUUCUUAUAAAACCCAAAAAUCGCUUAAUAUCAGAUUUAUAUUUAAACUCUUUUAUAACCUUCUAAAUGACCAAAAUGCCCUUGCGGGGCAUAAUUUGAGUUUAAAUCCGUUUUGGGCAUAAUAGAAGAUAUCUUACUGAUGUCACAACAUAUUUAAGGCAUAUUAACUUAGGAAACUUGUAUAUGACUCUUAUGGUUACUCGUUACACACUUUUCGCGUUCGGAUCGACUUAUGUAACUAGUUUGCAUAUAUUAGCCGAAACGGGUCAAACCAUAUCAUUUUUGUCUCAAAAUCCAGAAUGUGUUUAAGUUAACCAUAUUAAACAAGUAAACAAGCUUGUCGGGUCAAAACCACAUUCUAAACCGGUCUUCGCUUUAUCAUGUGUUGAACCGUAUCUUCCUUUUGAAAACUAACCGGUCUAAGUCUAGGCUUAGUUAAAGACCCAUUAGGAUUCUAAUAGGUUAUUAAAAACCUUCGUUCCAGAUUAGGAGCUUAGUAAAAGCUACAUGCACUUGCUGUAUUUGAUUUACACUUUGCUCAGGUAAAUACUCUUAACUUAUUUUCCCUAUACGGGCUUGGGAUACGGUACUAUAAAAGUACCGCUUGGUCGGGUGUGUAGUUAUUUAUAUCAGAUUGUGAUUUAUGUAUUUACAUGACCCGUUUAAUAUGUAUUAUUUGGUGUAUGGCCUUUGGGGGUUAAAUGACUAUGUCCCGGAGAUAUCCUUGGCAUCAUUCAAAGAAAUGGCCAUGACCUAAGCACGGGGUGUAGGUGUACACCUGACAGCUGCAUAUGUAAAAACUGGUAGCCACUUAAAGGAAUCAGCCUUGUGGGUAUUAUACCUGUGGCGUGUCAGUUAAUCUAGACCGGCCCUACAAACCGGCCCUGAUGGACGAUAAAUAAGUAAAACUGUAUACAAGAUUGUUUUUAAUUGUCCCAAGUUAUUGAAGAUAUUUUUGCCUAAGGGCAUUCAAACAAAUUUUCAAACUCUUUUCAAAAUGAGUCAGUUAAGUUGUAUUUACCAGUGUAAACUAACGUAUUUUCCAAAAGGCUAAGUGCAGGUACUAUACGUAAUAGGUUGGCUACUCCAGGCAUCAAUAAUCAAGUCUCGUAAGCUCUAGAUGUCAAAGUCUGUUGAACAGUUUUUCUUUUUUUUUUGAUCCGCCUGUGGAUCUAUUUCAACUAUCUUGUGAUACUUAAUAUUACAAUUUUAUUCAGUUGAAAUGAAUCUAUCUUUUGCUUCUGUUGUGCAUUUAAAUUUGUGUUGUUUGACUAUGAUUAUAUCAACUACGUCACGAUACUCCCCACUGGGCCCACCGGUAAUACGUGGAAAUAUCAGGGUGUGACAGGUUGGUAUCAGAGCCAACACUGAGUGAAUUAAACACUAGCCUUUUGUGUUUAAUCUCAGUUACACAGUUGCACAUUCUCGAGUCUAGACAAAGAACAUAGGAUUAAUCCUAAUUCGUUUUAUUUUGUCCUUGAUUUGUUUCUUUUGUUAUUUUUCUGAUUAGCCCCUGCAUGGGCAAGUCAUUUAAGUUAGAAGUCCCGUUUAGGGCAACCAUAUACUUGUUUAAACUUUAAUGGAACGGUUAGAUUUAAAAUAACAUUCCUAUUUAAGAUCUACCAUUAUAAUAAAAUGGCAA
This 3361-nucleotide long non-coding RNA is filed under the name Helianthus annuus (common sunflower). Its description in RNAcentral is "hypothetical non coding rna". The record is from RNAcentral. Lineage: Eukaryota; Viridiplantae; Streptophyta; Magnoliopsida; Asterales; Asteraceae.